AAAACCCUAAAAACUCUCAUUUUUCCCUUUUCUAAAACUGCCACAGUUAUCCCGUUAUUCAUAUUUUCCGGUGAGCUCCACCACCCAAACACCACCUCCCCCCCUCUCCUUGUUUGCUGCUACCAGUAACCAAACCAACAACAGCCUAAAACCACAACCUAACCAUAUAUAUUUUUUGGCUUUGCUUAAUUAAUUGUUGAUUUGUUCUCUUAAUGUUUUGGGUUAAAUUUUAAUGAUUGUUAUUUUUUAAUGAAUGUGUUUGGCUACUAUUUGUUCAUUACUUCAUCAUUGUUGCACUUUUUUAUUCCAGUUUUAAUCGGUGAAUUUUGUAAUGUUAUUUAUCAAUUGUUUCCGUCAAUUUGAACAAAUGACCAAUGAAAAGAUCUAUCCGUCGAUUUUUGAGGUCUUCUCAUUUUUAAAGACGGAAAGUUUAGUUUAAAUUUAUAUAACACAUCAUACAGUACAAGUUAAAAUUGACUGAUGAAGAAAUUUUCUCCGAUUUCUAAGGCCUUUCAUCUUAAUAAAACUUAAGGGCUUAUUUAUUCCACUUUAGAAUAGUCCCCUGUAAAGUAUAAGUGUGUUGUUGGAUACCCGAUAAUAGAUUGGAAGACCAAAUAGUAGAUAUUGAAUCCUUUUAAUUUUGAUUACUAUUAUUUUGAUGCAUUUUUUUUUUUUUGAUUCAUGAAAAGUAAAUUGUACAAGGCUACAAGCAUGGCACAUAUUCAUGUAUUAUGUUAGUUAAAAUUGUUCCUUUUUUCAUACCCAAAUGUAGGACAAUUAAAAAUCAACAGUGUAGAUAUUUUGUUAGUUAAUUGUUUUUAUUUUUAUUACAUAAAAAUAGUUUAAAUAAAAAGUUGUAAAAGGGAAGUGAUGGCAACAUGUCCUAAAUUUGGUUUUCACCAAGAAAUCAUAUCUCAUUCUUGGUCAAAAAUAAAUUAAGGAUUUGUCACCAUCACUCUCUUUUCCAACUUUUAUUCAAAAUCUGUUGUUUUGGUAAUAAAAAAAAUCAAAAAACUAACAAAAUAUCCACACCGUUGAUUUUUAAUUAUCCUGCAUCUAAGAACAAUUUGAAUUUAUCAAAUUACAUGAAUAAGUGUUAUACUUAUAGUCUUGUAAAAUUAAUUUUUCAUGUAUAGAGAAGUAGUUCAUUGCAAGCAAAUUCUUAAAGGAAACAGUAAAAAAACAAUCCCUACAAGAAAAAAUAAAUUAAAAAUCGUCCUUCGAAGGUUAGGUUUUGAAAAAAUAUUUUGUUAACAAAACUAACCUUUGGAGUUUAUAAAAUAGCCUCUAGAGAUCGAUAUUUUUAUAGCAAUAUUCAUAAUGUAAUUAUUUAGAUAGUUUUUGUUAUGAAGAGAUUAUUCUCUUGUAGUUUUAAUAUUUUUCUAUAUUAGUUUUACAUAUAUAGGUCAAUUUUGACCAAACCCCAUUAUGUUUUAUGGAUCUUUAGUAUAUCUUUUUAUUAUAUGGUUUAUUGUAUUUUAAAGUUUACAAUUAUUGAUCUCCGCAGGACAUCUUUUUAUUUUGAUCCCAACAAACAAGUUCUACAAGAAAUAUUUUAUAUUGAAGUCCUCCUCACUCUCCAACCGCACAAAUCUUCACUCCCACAAAGUUUACUUUAUAUUUCUGGUGGAUCGUUUUAUAUAUCUUUGUUGCUCAUCACGUGUUUGUGUACAAAUUACCUAAAAGGCAAUUAGGGUCAAAUCUUUCUAUAAUAGCAGUAUUUGUUUAAAAUUUUUAUGAUUAUAUUAUAGUGAGAUAUUGCUAUAUAUGUAUAUUAGUAUUUAAUGUUUAGAUCUUAUUUAGAUACUAUAUAUAAACAAAAGUAUGUAAAAUUAGAAAGGAUGUGAAUGUAAAGAAUGACAAACACUUAUAGUCUUUCCCCGUGAAGUUAUGGCCAUGCACCAUUACACAAUAUAUAUUUUUUAUGAAUAUCUGUAUUUGAGUUUUACUAUGUUUAUUUAAUAAUGAAUUAAUUAAGGUAAAAAAAGAUAAUACAAAGGUGAUGAUAAUUCAGUUGAGCAACCACAACUGUAUAUAUAUCGAUGCGCCGCAAAUGGAACAAAAAUUUUCUAACCUAACUUUAUAAAUUUCUUGCAAGUUUGUACAAAAAACAGAUAUAGAUAGUAAAAGUGUAAACAUUUGAUAUUAUAUUUCUCUUUUGACAUUCAAUACUCACUUUAAUUGGUUAAAUUUUAAGGGGUAAAACAUUUCUUAUUAAAAAGGAUUAUAAUCUUAAGGCACAAACUUAAAUCUUCUAGGUAAGAAUGAAGUACUUAUCGACCACUUCACCAUAACAUUUUGUGGUCUAAACUCUAAAGUGAAACGAAAUAUAUAGUUCUAAGCAUUGCCUAUAAAUAGUCAGUGGUGGAUUCAUGAUUUUAAUUGAAGGAGUUCGAAACAUAAAAAUAAAAUAUAGUGCUUGAAAUUUGAAACUUCAAGGUGCAUUUUAACACCUAAACAACCGAGCCAAUUCAUGUGUUCACAUAAUUCAGAAUCGAUCGCUAAAUAUACAUAAAAUUCAAAAAAUUAUCUUCAUUUAUAGUGUAUUUUUUUGUAGAUAAGGUUCAGUUACACUUUCAUGAGUCAUGAGGCUCCAGAUCCGCUCCUAUAUAUAGAUAGUGUCAAAUUUCUUAUAAUACACGUCAAUGUAAGCAUAUUGUAUGAUUUUAUAAUAUUGUUAACUAGCUAUUUUUAAUACUCAAACUCGCAAUCUAUAAUUAAAAAGGAACAAGUAAAAACAACAAUCUUUAAGUUUAGUAGUUAAAACAUUUGAUGAUGACACUCUUUUAACUUUUUCUUACCAACUAAUUUGCAAGUAGAUAAUGUAUUCAGAAAGUGUCAUUUUAUUAUACGAUAACUUGUAAGUAAUCUAUAUAUAUAUAAUUUAAAUAAAAUGGUAGAAUUUAACAAAUUCAAAACCUUCGUAAAUGGACAAAGCCGGUCAACUAUAUUAAUUAAGUGGUAGAUAAUUUUCACACUAUUGCAUUAUUUAACAAUACUUCAUCCGUCUCAAAAUAUUUAUUCAUAUUUCAUUUUUUGAAAGUUAAUUUGGCUAAAUUUUGAAGCUAAAUUAAAUUAAUAUGAUAUUUUCAAAUUUUAGCUUAGAUGUUCAAGAACUUCAUGAAAAAUAUUAUAAAUUGUAUUUUUUUCUAAUAUCAAUAUGGUAAAAACAUCCUAACAGUUGAUCAAAGUACAUUCAAUUACUUUGCUAUAAUAAAUUGAACAUUGUAUGUGGGUAAAUAUUUACCAUAUUUAGGACUCAAUUUAAUGAAUCAAUCGAGACGUAAGUAUGAUGUAAUUAGAUCACGUUAGAGUAUUGCUUUUGCUAAAUUUAUUAGCUCCACUAAUUUGAAAUUCCAUGGUGUAGUGUAGGAUAUAAAUUCUUAGUAAGAUUGAUUUAAAAUAUAAAAAGUAAAUACUGAUGAAAAAAAAAAUCAACAUAUAAUAAACAUAUAUAAAAAUAUAAAUAAAAGGUAACUUAUAGAAAUUUCACUAUUUUACAUUUAGGAGCUAAUUACUUAAAUGUACUCUAGUUUGCAAUAAGUAGAUUUUGGUACGUUCAAAUACACUGAAUCUAAGUGGAUUCACAUGUAUCUGAGAAACAAAGACAAACUCACAUCCUUUGCCUCCCUCACACAGUGGCGGAGGGAGGAUUUUCAUCAAGGGGGUUCAAAAAAAAAAUUAAUCACGUAAAUAAUAUCUACAAAUAAAUUAAACGGGUCGAAUCGGAUAUAAAACGGGUCGGAUUAAACUGUCGAAUCAAGAAGAAAAGGGUUUUUUAAUAUUUGACUUUAUAAUUAGGGAUUAAACUAAUAAAUCCUAAAUUUCCAAUCAUCGUUUUAUUUUUUUGGAACUAAACAUCAUUUUCUGAUUGCAUUAUUAUAUUUUUUAAAUAAAUUAAAAACGCCUAAAAUAUAAGCUGAUAAAAGAAAUGCCUCUGCCCGGAUUCGAACACGCGACCUCGCGUGCAGUAGAGUGAAUUCCUGAACCCCCAACGCCACUGAGCUACGCCUUUGGUGUAUGUUCAGGGGGUUCAGUACUAUAUAUAAACACGUAUAUUAAAAAUUUAAUCUUAUAUAUAUAGUGUAAUUUUUCGACGAAGGGGGUUCGGAUGAACCCCCUUCGUCCUACGUAAAUCCGCCCCUGCCCUCACAUCUUGCACGCCACUCUCCUAUGUGUUUGUAUCUCAGAUACAUACGAAUCACACCAGACACAUAUAAAUACAUGUCUAAUAUGUAUCUAGUGUAAUUCAAUGUACCUGGAAUAUACAAAUCUCUUUCCCCACCUCACUCACAUCUCCCUAUUUCAAUGUAUUUGUUGAUAGCAAAAAUACAAAUAUUAUCUUCCUUAAUAUAACCACCCCCUCUUUGGAUUUCACUACUUUGACUCUAACCAGAAAUUCUACACGUUUUGUUUAUGAAUAUAAUAAAUGAUCUAAAAAAAUAUCUUCUUGUUCUGGAUUCUUCGUCAUUUUUAAAAAUAAAAUAAAAAACUACAACUCUACAAAUUGAUUAUUUCCACGAUUUUAUACACGUUAUGCAAAUGUAAAGAUAAGACAUUAAAUAUUUUGGUUAUGCUUCUAUCAAAAUUGGUUUUGAGAUGGUGUGUUGAUCAUGGAUUCAAUAUUCUUACUAUUGAAUCUGAUUUCAUGAUUGUGACAAUGACAUUCAUUCUUUGCUAGUUCAACCAUAUUUUUAGAGAAGGGAACUCUACUACUGAUCUUUAAGUAGUUUGUGGAGGAUAAGAUGCACACAAACUUUAUCUCCCUACCUUUGUAAGGUAGAUACGAUAGACUAUUUCCGCUACAUCCUCGACUCAAAAGAGAAUUAUCUUUGGGAUUCUUCAUAUCGGGACUGCUCAACUGAAACUAAUUUUGGCCAAUAUUCAAGUCCUUGGGCCUAAUACAACGAUAGCCCAAUUAUGACAUCCUUAACCCAACUAUAUAGUUUGUUUUUAGUAUUUUAAUCCUCAGUUUACUUGCUUAAAUAAGCAAUUCUUUGUACAAUUUUAUUCAGAGAGAGAAAUACAUAAAAUAUCUCAAACUUGUUCUUCAAGAUUUUCUGUGAAAUUUUUGAGAAAAUAAUCUUAUUUGAUUGGUUUAUUAAUUAUCUUUUCUAGUAAAUUGAACUAAGUAAAUUCAAAAAUCGGCAACGUUAUUUAUUAUAUUCUAAAUAUGUAGUGUAAUAUUAGUAACUCAAUCUUUAUAUUUUUUUAAAGAAUCUUGACAAUUUUUAAAAUAAUAUAUGAUUAAAUGUGAACAGAUUUAGAAUAAACAAAUCAAGAAGUAAAAUAAAGAAGAAUACUGCAAAGCAAAAACGAAAAAAAACACAAAAGAUUAUAAUUAAGAAAGCUUAAUGAAGCAGAACACUUAACGAGGCAUGACAAGGCAUUUUAAUUUAGUGAAUUAAGGUUAGUCUUUUUCUUUCUGUUCCACUUUGUUUGUCAUCUGUAAUUUUCACAUAUUUAUUUCUUCAUGUUUUGAAUCCCUUAGUAAAAACUUUAUUUUCACCACAUAUAGUGCAAUACAACACUUAAAUAGUUGCAAUCUCAUAUAUAUGAAUUAUAGAUUUAUAGCCUCUUACAAUCAUUGUAAAUCGGUCCAUGUGGAUCAAAAUGACUUGCAAAGCGACCAUAUAAUAUUUGUGGGAAGCAUUGAAGAUCAAGUACAAAGAGCAUGUAAAGACCGGGUUCCGUCGUCAUAGAGAAGCCAAUGGGAAAAUUUUUGGGUCAGAAAACUUUUUCGUAGUAAUUUGGAUUUUUCCAACCUAGUCCAAAUUUGGACGGAAUCGGAGUCAUUAAGGUGUAGGCAAAUGGUAACAAUUGGGUGAUUUAUUUAAAAUUUUGAUUACAUGAGGGGAUAGAUAACUCGUUAAGGAAUCCGUACGGCUUUACGGAAUUGAAUUCGGGCGAUUAGAAAUCCCAGAAUCGAUCUUAGCGUGAAUGGUAUUUUCUGAGCAUCGUUGGUUAGAGGUGUGUUAAAUGGGGAUUUUGGAAUUUUUAAAAUAGCUCACUGGUUCGUGCAAGCCGCCUUGGCAGGGAUUUUUGCCACUCUGGCGGGGACGCUACAACGGGGUGAGGGCCGCUGUGGCGGGCUCGAUGCGACUUAAGGUCGUUAAUAAACCCCUAAACGACCUUAUUAUGAACUUUUCGACUUUUAGAGCUAAGGAACGAACCCAGGCGACUCCUACUCGUUUUUCACCAUUCUUAAGGCUAAAGGUAAGCUUUUCACUCCCCGAAUCCGAUUUUCAAUCUGUAGAAUGUAGUAGAAUGGGUAAUUAAUGAUGGGGGAGGGUUUUGAUCUAGAAUCUAUGGUGGAAACAACCCUAAUUGGGAUAAUUAGGAUCAUGGGUAUGAUCUAGGGUUCAUAGAAUUGUUAGUGAUUCGGGUAAUUAGUGAUUGUUUAUUGAUUCCCGUGUUAUUAUGAUUAUUUGUAGACCAAGAACAAGCGGAACGGAUCAGGAAAGGGAAAGAUCAAGUUUCUUAGGAUUUCAAGAUUGUUUCGAGGUAGGUGAUGGCUGUGAUUCUGUGAUUGUGUGAUAUAUGUUUGUUCUUGCUUCAUUAUGAUACUUGCAUGUAUUUGAAUGUUGCAUUAUUGAUCACACUUGAUAUAAAUGAGAUAGAUAUAUGAUGAUUGUCAUGAAACCAUGACUUAAAUGUGUGAUCUUGAGGAUGUACUUGUGAUUGUGAUUGUGAUGUAUUGAAUGCAUCGGUUGCCACGUUCCAACAUAACUAAGUUGGAUAGGUUGCACGUUCCGGCAUAACAAUGGCAUCGGUUGCCAUGUUUUGGCAUAAUUAUCGGAUCGGGUACCACGUUCAGGUAUGUUAACUGUUUGGGUUUGGGUUCCAUGAAAGGACCAAUGAUUUGAUAUAAUUGUGUAUCUUGAGAAAUGUGAAGUUGUUCGUUGUUACUAAAUGUUACUAAUAUUGUAUAUGUUCGAUAUAUGCAUGUGAUUAUAUUAUUGUGAUGACUUAUAUAUGUUGCACUUAGUGGGAUAGCCGCGUGAUCCUACCAGUACACUAUGGUUAUGUACUGAUACUGCACUUGCUCUUAUUUUUGUUGAGUACAGGGCAUCUUCAAGCGACUACUGACAAACCUCGCUUAGGAGAUCAGUGAUCUUUCGAAUUCAAGGGUGAGUCAAUUCUUCCAGGCUACCAUGGGUUCUCUUUCGUCUAUGUCUACCAUUUUCGGACUUAGACUAUGUACUAGUUAGUUGAUUAGUUCAUUUGAUUGGGGUUGCAUCCCUUCUUGUUUAGACUUGUUGAACUUUAGAUGUUUUGGUACAUUGACUUUCAGGUUCUAGGUUAUUUCUUCCGCAUUGUUUAGUUCGUUGUUAGACUUUUGUUGGAGUUUAUGGGAACUCCUUAUUUCUUUCCUUAGUAUUUAAAUUUCUUUCGUAUCCUUAAAUGCCUUAGUUUUAGAUUAGUUGCUUGGUUUGAGUUGUAGUAGUGGUUCUCCCAUCGGAGUGUUAAUGUGGGUGCCAAUCACGACGAUCUGGGUCAUGACAAAGUUGGUAUCAGAUCCUAGGUUCGUUGAUCUUGAUGUGCCAAAAUGAUUCUAGUAGAGUCUCGCAGAACGGUACAGGGACGCCUUUACUUUUCUUCGAGAGGCUAUAGGACUUUAGGAAAUCUCUCUAUUUUCUCUUGUCUCCUUUCGUGCUGUAACUUGAUUCCAAUUGGUAUCUAUCGAUUCGAAUUGGUAUCUAACAUCAUUCACUCUUUUGUCCACAGAUGGUUAACACUAGGUCUAAUGGCGUCAGCCCGUAGCUCCCGUCAAUGCUCCAGCUGAGAAAUUUGCAGCGAGAGGUCGCGGUCGAGGCAGGAGUAGAGGAAGAGCUAGGGUUAUAGGCCGAGAAAAAGUGGCGCCUGCUGGGAAUGAGGUACCGGUUGAGAAUGCCCUUGUGAAUGAGAACCCUUUGGUGCAUCGUGAAGAGUUAGAAGAGGAUAUUGAGGUUGAUAAUGUUGAGGAGGUUGGACAAGAGGAAGAGGUGCAGACUGAGACUACAAAUGUUCCUCUCAUAGAUCCAGUCUUAGCUCGACAGAUCAUGUCAUUCUUGAAAGGGUUGGUUGGUCCUGGAGUGCUUCCUUCUGCUCAAGCGACUCAAGUUCCUACUAAUCCUCAUAUUGCUAGCAUUGCGCCCAAGACGGGUGGAACGAGAGGUAAUAAUGUUUUCUUCUGUCCUUUGUUGGGUUCUGUUAUGACUGGUAAUGAGCAUGAAAUGUUGAUUAAGUUUUUGAAGGUAAAGCCUCAUGUGUUUCUUGGUUCUGAGAGUGAGGAUGCUUAUGAGUUCAUCUUAGAUUGCUAUGAGAGGCUUGAUAAAUUGGGCAUUGUUCAUCAACAUGGGGUUGAGUUUUUUGUCUUUCCAACUUCAAGGUGAGGCCAAGCAGUGGUGGAGAGCUUAUAUGGAAUGCAGAUCUUCUACUUUACCUCCACUUACUUGGACUCAAUUUCAUGCUCUGUUCUUGGAAAAAUAUGUGCCUAGAACUUUGAGAGAUUGUAAGAAAGAUGAAUGUAUGGCUUUGGAACAAAGUGGUACGUCUGUGGCUGCUUAAAAGGCCAAGUUUCACGAUUUGUCUAGAUAUGCUACUCAAUUGGUAACUAUUGAGGAGAAGAGGAUUCUACUUAUUUAUUAGGGGACUGAAUUCUGAGUUGCAAGUACUAUUUGUUCAUAUGACUUCUGCAGAGAGGAGCUUCAAUGAGGCUUGGAAAAAUAUGUGCCUAGAACUUUGAGAGAUUGUAAGAAAGAUGAAUGUAUGGCUUUGGAACAAAGUGGUACGUCUGUGGCUGCUUAAAAGGCCAAGUUUCACGAUUUGUCUAGAUAUGCUACUCAAUUGGUAACUAUUGAGGAGAAGAGGAUCUACUUAUUUAUUAGGGGACUGAAUUCUGAGUUGCAAGUACUAUUUGUUCAUAUGACUUCUGCAGAGAGGAGCUUCAAUGAGGUAACAGAUUAUGUUAAGAAAGUGGAUGGGGUGAGGCGAGACGGUCAGACUAAGGCAUUGGCAAAAAGGGCUAAGAUUCCAGGCUACUUUCAAGGUUCUUAUUCCAGAGGUUCAGGGAGGCCAACGCUUGCAGCCAAGCCAAUUCAGUCCGAUAUGCCCGCCUCUACAGGUAAUUACUCAGGAACUCCAUCUCAUCAUUUUAAGGAUAGCCAGAGAGUCGCCCAUUCGACGGGUGACAGACCAUCUUUUGAUCGUACUUGCUACAAUUGUGGAGAACCUGGGCAUAUGAGGAGAUUGUCCCCACUUACGUGUAUUAGAUGUCGUGCAACAGCCUUCUAGAGCAGUGGUACCCGCGUGGAAUGGUAAUAAUGGUAGAGAACGUCCAUAAGGUGGGCGAGGAGGUAAUCAGCGAGGUCGUGAAGGUAGAGGAUAUGGUAAUGCAGGCAGGGGUAAUGCGCAACCAGGCAGGGAAAUGGCUUGUCAAGAUGAUAGGGCUCAAUGUUAUGCUUUUUCGGGCAAAAAUGAGGCAGAGACGUCUGAUUCGGUGAUCACAGCUACUAUUUUUGUUUGUGACCGAAUGACUAAUGUGUUAUUUGAUCCAGGUUCUACUUAUUCAUAUGUAUCCGUGAGAUUUGCCUCAGAUUUUGAUAUGAGUUGUGAUUUUCUUAAUGCCCUUAUUCAUGUUUCUACCCCAGUUGGAGAGUCAGUCAUAGUUACCCAUGUCUAUCGUGCAUGUCCUAUUUUGUUUAUGGGUUUUCAGACUUGGGCUGAUUUGGUGAUUUUGGAUAUGACUGAUUUUGAUAUAAUCUUCGGCAUGACUUGGUUGUCCCCCUAUUAUGUUGUACUAAGUCUGUAACUCUAUAAAUUUUGGAAAGGGGAAAAUCAGAGUGGGAAGGGGUGUACAAGCCUAAGCAAGCUAAGAUUAUAUCCUCCAUUCGGGCUAGUAAAUUAGUAUAGCAGGGUUGUUUGGCUUAUUUGGCUCAUAUUAUAGAUGUUGAGAUUGAAGCUCCAUCCAUUGGGUCUAUUCUUGUGGUGUCAAAAUUUAGAGAAGUGUUUCCUAAUGACUUGCCUGGUAUGCCUCUAGAUAGAGAUAUAGAUUUUUGCAUUGAUUUUGAGUCUGGUACUCGUCCCUUUUCCAUCCCUCCAUAUCGCAUGGCUCCAACAGAGUUAAGAGAGCUUAAAAGCUCAAAAUCCAAGAGCUUCUUGAUAAGGGAUUUAUUCUUCCUAGUGCUUCCCCAUGGGGGUGCUCUAGUUUUGUUGUUAAAGAAAAAAAAUGGUAGUAUGAGAAUAUGUAUAGAUUACCGGCAAUUGAAUAGGGUCACUAUUAAAAACAAGUACCCCUUUGCCUCGAAUAGAUGAUUUUUUUGACCAAUUGCAAGGGGCAACAAUUUUCUCUAAGAUUGAUCUAAGAUCCGGUUACCAUCAAUUGAAAAUUAGGCCUGAGGAUGUGCCCAAUACAACAUUUAGAACUCACUAUGGGCACUAUGAGUUUUUGGUUAUGUCUUUUGGUUUGACCAAUGCGCAUGCAGCUUUCAUAAGUUUAAUGAAUGAGGUGUUCAAGCCAUUUCAUGAUUCUUUCGUUAUAGUCUUUAUUGAUGAUAUUUUGGUUUAUUCGAAAAGUAAGGAAAAGCAUGCCGACCAUCUUCGUAUUGUUUUGGGUAUUCUAGGGAAGCAAAGAUUGUAUGCUAAAUUUUCUAAAUGUGAAUUUUGGUUGACUUCGGUUGCAUUUUUGGGACAUGUAGUUUCAAAAUAAGGGGUAAUGGUAGAUCCUCAAAAGAUUAAGGCGGUUAAGAAUUGGGUUCGGCCUAGCUCAGUGACAGAAGUUAGGAGUUUUGUGGGGCUCGCCAGCUAUUAUCGUCAUUUUAUGAAGAAUUUUGCUUCUAUUGCUACUCACUUGACUAAUUUGACCAAAAAGGAGAUACUAUUUGAAUGGACUGAAAAAUGCGAGGAGAGCUUUCAAAAGCUCAAGACUCUCUUGACCACCGCACCUAACCUAGCAUUACCAGUGGAAGAUAAGGAUUUUAUUAUUUAUUGUGAUGCUUCACAUUCUGAUUUGGGUGCUGUGUUGAUGCAGGAUAAAAAUGUUAUGCCUCAUGUCAAUUGAAGGUGCAUGAAAGGAAUUAUCUCACACAUGAUUUGGAGUUGGCAGCGAUAGUGUUUACUCUUAAGAUCUGACGACAUUACCUCUAUAGUGUUAAGUGUGAGGUAUUUAUCGAUUAUCGUAGUUUGUAGCAUGUGUUCACUCCAAAAGAUCUGAAUUUAAGACAGCGAAGGUGGAUGGAGUUACUUAAAGAUUAUGAUGUGACCAUUCAAUACCAUUCGGGCAAGGCUAAUAUGGUGGCAGACGCUUUGAGUCAAAAAAUGGUGAGUAUAGGUAGUUUAGCUUGCUUGAAUGUAUCCAAGUGACCCUUGGCUAAUGAAAUUCAGACCUUGGAGUCUAAGUUCAUGUAUUUGGGCAUCUCAGAAAGAAGUGGGUUGUUAGCUAGCAUUGAAGUAAGGGUCACAUUCAUGGAUGAGAUCAAUGCCAAACAAUUUGAAGAGGAAAAUUUGGAGGAGCUUAAAAAGAAAACUGCUAUUGGUAAGGCACAAGAGACCACCCUUGAUGCGGAUGGUGUGCUCAAUUUUAAAGGGAGAAUAUGUGUUCCUAGAGUAGAUGAGUUGAUUGAGAAAUUGUUGGCAGAGUCUCAUGGUUCGUGAUAUUUUAUCCAUCCGGGCAUAACCAAGAUAUACCUAGAUUUGAAGCGAAUUUAUUGGUGGCCGGGCAUGAAGAAGGACACAGCGGAGUUUGUGGCGAAGUGUACAAAAAAUUGUCAACAAGUAAAGUAUGAACAUCAAAGGCCGCAGUUUUGCUUCAAAGAAUGUCAAUUCCGGAGUGGAAGUGGGAAAGGAUAGCCAUGGAUUUUGUGGUUGGUCUUCCGAAGACUUUGGAAAAGUUCGAUUCUAUUUGGGUAGUGAUUGGUAAAUUGACUAAGUCAGCCCAUUUUAUUCCGGUAAUAAUAGAUUAUAAUGCUGAAUAAUUGGCUAAAGUUUAUGUGAAAGAGAUAGUGAGGUUGCAUGGGGUACCCAUCUGUAUCAUCUCAGACCGCGGUACACAGUUUACCUCCAAGUUUUGGAGGAAGUUACAUAAUGAAUUGGGCACACAACUCACUUGUAGUACAAAUUUCCAUCCACAGAUGGACGGGCAGUCAAAGAGGAAUAUUCAAGUGCUAGAAGACAUGUUGAGGGCAUGUGUGAUUGAUUUUGGANNNNNNNUGGGCAGUCAGAGAGGACUAUUGAAGUGUUAGAAGACAUGUUGAGGGCAUGUGUGAUUGAUUUUGGAGGGCAUUGGGAUAAAUUCUUACCUUUGUGUGAAUUCUCUAAUAAUAAUAGUUAUCAAUCCAGCAUUGAUAUGACACCAUUUGAGUCACUCUAUGGGAGGGGAUGUAGAUCACCCAUAGGAUGGUUUGAGGCUGUAGAUGUGAAACCAUUGGGGGUUUAUUUAGUAAAUAAUGCUCAAGAUAAGGUGAAGAGUAUUCAAGCUAAGUUUCUAGCAGCCCAGAGUAGACAAAAGAAGUAUGUGGAUCAUAAGGUAAGAGACAUGGCAUUUCAAUCCGGUGAAAAUGUUCUUCUUAAGGUAUCACCUAUGAAAGGGGUGAUGAGAUUUAGUAAGAAAGGUAAGCUAAAUCUGUUAUACAUUGGUCCCUUUGAGGUUCUUGAAUGUGCUGGACCGGUAGCGUAUAGAUAGACCUUACCUCCUAAUCUAUCGGGUGUUCACCCGGUAUUUCAUGUGUCCAUGUUGAAGAAGUAUCAUGGUGACGGGGAUUAUAUCAUUAAGUGAGACUCAAUUGUGUUAGACAAAGACCUCCAAUAUGAGGAGGAACCGAUUGCAAUUCUUGAUCGUGAUGUGCGUAAGUUGAAGACCAAGGAAAUUAAGUCCGUGAAUUGUUUGUCGAUUCAGGUACUACUUCAUUCCUUUCUUAGCCUACUUUUUUUCCUAAGUUAUUACUCGGGGACGAGUGAUGGGUAAAUUGGUAUCUACUGUAACGACCGAGUUUCGUUGUUAUAGAGAAGUCAACAGGGAAAUUUUUUGGGUUGGAAAACUUUUUCGUAGUAAUUUGGAUUUUCCCAACCUAGUCCAGAUUUGGAUGGAAUCGGAGUCAUUAAGGUAUAGGGAAAUUAGGUAACAAUCGAGUGAUUUAUUUAUAAUUCUGAUUACAUGAGGGGAUAGAUAACUCGUUAAGGAAUCCGUACGACUUUACGAAAUUAAAUUCGGGCUAGUAGAACUCUUAAAAUUGAUCUUAGCAUGAAGGGUUUUUUUUUAGCUUCGUUGGUUAGAGGUGAGUUGUGAAAUGGGGAUUUUGGAAUUAUUAAAUUAGCUCAUUGGUUCGUGCAAGCUGCCUUGGCAGGGAUUUUUGCCGCUCUGGAGGGCCGCUACAGCGGGGUGAGGGCCAUUGUGGAGGGCUCAACGCAACUUAAGGUCGUUAAUAAACCCCUAAAUGACCCUAUUAUGUACUUUUCAACGUUUAGAGCUAAGGAACGAACCCCAGGCGACUCCUACUCAUUUUUCACCAUUCUUGAGGCUAAAGGUAAGUUUUCACUCUACGAAUCCAUUUUUCGAUCCGUAUAACAUAAUAGAAUGGGUAAUUAAUGAUGGGGGAGGUUUGAUCUAGAUUCUAUGGUGGAAACAGCCCUAAUUGGGAUAAUUGGGAUCAUAGGUAUGAUUUAGGGUUCAUAGAAUUGUUAGCGAUUCGGGUAAUUAGUGAUUGUUUAUUGAUUCCCGUGUUAUUAUGAUUGUUUGUAGACUAAGAACAAGCGGAACAAAUUCGAAAAGGGAAAGAUCAAGUUUCUUAGGGUUUCAAGCUUGUUUCGAGGUAGGUGAUGGUUGUGAUGUAUGUUUGUUCUUGCUUCAUUAUGAUACUUGCAUGUAUUUGAAUGCUGCAUUAUUGAUCACACUUGAUAUAAAUGAGAUAGAUGAAUGAUGAUUGCCAUGAAAUCAUGACUUAAGUGUAUGAUUGUAAGGAUGUACUUGUGAUUGUGAUUGUGGUGAGUUGAAUGCAUCGGUUGCCACGUUCCGGCAUAACUAACUUGGAUCGGUUGCCACGUUCUGGCAUACCAAUGGGAUCGGUUGCCACGUUCCGGCAUAAUUAUUGGAUCGGGUACCAUGUUUCGGUAUGCUAACUGUUUGGGUGUUUGGGUUCCAUGAGAGGACCAAUAAUUUGAUAUAAUUAUGUAUCUUGAGAAAUGUGAAGUUGUUCGUUGUUAGUAAAUGUUGAUAAUAUUGUAUAUGUUUGAUAUAUGCAUGUGAUUAUAUUAUUGUGAUGACUUAUGUAUGUUGCACUUAGUGGGAUAGCCGCGUGAUCCUACCAGUACACUGUGGUUGUGUACUGAUACUGCACUUGCUCUUAUUUUUGUUGAGUACAGGGCAUCUUCAAGCGGCUACUGACAGACCUCGCUUAGGAGAUCAGUGAUCGUUCGAAUUCAAGGGUGAGCCAAUUCUUUCGGGCUGCCAUGGGUUCUCUUUCGUCUAUGUCCACCAUUUUUGGACUUAGACUAUGUUCUAGUUAGUUGAUUAGUUCAUUAGAUUGGGGUUGCAUCCCUCUUGUUUAAACUUGUUGAACUUUAGAUUUUUUUGGUACAUUGACUUUCAGGUUCUAGAUUAUUUCUUCCGCAUUGUUUAGUUCGUUAUUAGACUUUUGUUGGAGUUUAUGGGAACUCCUUAUUUCCUUCCUUAGUAUUUAAAUUGCUUUCGUAUCCUUAGAUGCCUUAGUUUUAGAUUAAUUGCUUGGUUUGAGUUGUAGUAGUGGUUCUCCCAUCGGAGUGUUAGUGUGGGUGCCAAUUACGACGGUCUGGGUCGUGACAGAGCACCACCCAAAAGUGAGGGUGCACGGCAAGUCUAAGUAGUAAGAAGAAAAUGAUACAAUGCAAUGUCAAGACUCAAGUGUAGUGAUGCAUAUCUGACCUAGCGAUACACAACUAUUGUCUCUUAAUCUGGGACUCAUAGGGGACAUAUAUGUCCAUGCAUUCAUCGCGGCGUACGACACGACUCUCGAUAAUAAAAUUCACCGUGACGUACGACACAUACUUCAAAUCAUAAUAUCAAUUGCGGCGGGCGACACGUCCCUCGAAUUGGUACAUCCUUUUAAUUCCUUAUUCCUCCUCAAUUCAUGUAACACGUGUCACAAUCAUGUCUCUGAACCAAUGCAAAUGACAUGUUCACCCAAAUAAUGAUAAAUGUCUAUUUCCAUAUCAAUGCACAAUUCACAACAAUACAAUUGUGAUAUAACAUCAACAAUGAAUCAAUAAACCUUUUAAAUCAUUUUCAACACAUCACACGUGCAUCAAUAUAUAAUCAAGUUGCCUUUUAUUACCCCCUUUUCAGCAUUAGGAUCAUUCAAUAUGAACAAGUCAAUCCAUCAUCAAAUCUCAUUACUUCUUAACAAAUACCAUAAGGAAUUACACUAUUCAAUAUCGGCUACAACAAAAAGUGAAUCUCUACCAACCACCACACACUCGGAAUUUCCAAACCAACUUCACCGACAGAUCAAUAUAUAUGACUUGGAGCAACUAUAGGGAGGAGUAAACCGAUAAUUUUAUUUUAAAAAGUCCAAAAAUGACCUUGUGGGUCAUUACACAAUUCUCAUGUUAAUUGACUCAAAAGACACAUGUGUCUAGCUACUUGUGCAUACCCAUAGUUGGAAACAUGCAUAAAUGUCAGUUGAAGCAAAGUGAAAUGGCACAUUAUGUAUUAUGUCUUUAUUUUAUUCUCUAUUAUCAAUGUAGAUAAAUGAAUUUUGAUUGUCAUUAAUAAAAAAAGUUUAAAAUUUAUAUAGAAUAUAAAUAAAUAAUCUUUCAAGAUUUUUUAUGAAAUAUAUAUUUAAUUUUAUUAAUUAUUUUUUAAUAUUAAUGCAUCAAAAUAUGUUUAUAUGGCUAUCAUAUUAUAGAUAUUUUUAAAAUUAAUAAAUUUUAUUUUUAUUUUGUUCAUUCAAGAAUGACAUUAGCUUAUAUACUCAAUCAAUAUUUUUUAUUUUUUUAGAUUAAUAUUUUAUUAUAGGCUAUCUGUUAUACAAAUGAAAAAAUAAUAAUAUUGUGAUUUUAAAAAAGUAUUAAAAAAAAGAUAAAGAUUGAUAAUGUAGGGUAGAAUAAACAUUUAAUAAAGUCAAUAAUGAAAAUGGGGGAAAUUAAAUGUUUCUCAAAGUUGAAGGGGGAGUUUGAUCUUUAAAAUAAAGUUGGGUGUAUAAAUGAUUUUCGCGCUAUUUAAUUAGCCAAUGAUUUUGAUAGCCCAUGGUUUUGUACAAAAAGUGGUUUUUAGUUGUCUAUAUAAGUAGAGAGGACUGUGAACAAUUUUUAAAUCAAGAAAAGAAUUUCAGUAAAACCCUAAAAACUCUCAUUUUUCCCUUUUCUAAAACAGCCACAGGUAUCCCGUUCUUCAUAUUUUCCGGUGAGCUCCACCACCCAAACACCACCUCCGCCCCCCCUCCUCUCCUUGUUUGCUGCUACCAGUAACCAAACCAACAACAUCCCAGAACCACAACCUAACCAUAUAUAUUUUGGCUUUGUUUAAUUAAUUGUUGAUUUGUUGUCUUAAUGUUUUCGGUUAAAUUUUAUUGAUUGUUGUUAUUUUUUGAUGAAUGUGUUUAUAUUUUUGGCAAUUUUUAGAUCUUUAAUAUGUUUGGCUACUAUUUGUCCAUUACUUCAUCAUUGUUGCUCUAUUUUUUAGUUUUAAUUUUUGAAUUUUUUUUAAUGCUAUUUAUCAAUUGUUUCCGUCGAUUUGUACAAAUGACCAAUGAAAAAGAUCUCUCUAUCGAUUUUUGAGGUCUUCUCAUUUUUAAAGACGGAAAGUUUAGUUUAAGUUUAUAUAACACAUCAUACAUUAAAAGUUAAAAUUGAUUGAUGAAGAAAUUUUCAUCGAUUUCUAAGGCCUUCCAUUUUAAUAAAAUUUAAGGGGUUAUUUAUUCCACUUUAGAAUAGUCAGUCCCUUGUAAAGUAUAUGUGUGUUGUUAGAUAUCCGAUAAUAGAUUGAAAGACCAAAUAGUAGAUAUUGAAUCCCUUUAAUUUUGAUUACUAUUUUUUUGAUGCAUUUUUUAUUUGAUUCAUGAAAAAUAAAUUGUACAAGGCUACAGGCAUGGCACAUAUUCAUGUAUUAUGAUAGUUAUAAUUGUUCCUUUUUCAUACCCAAAUGUAGGACAACUAAAAAGCAAUAGUGUAGAUAUUUUGUUAGUUAAUUUUUUAUUUUAUUUUAUUGCAUAAAUAGAGUUUAAAUAAAAAGUUGUAAAAGGGAAGUGAUGGCAACAUGUCCUAAAUUUGGUUUUCACCAAGAAAUCAUAUCUCAUUCUUGGUCAAAAAAUAAAUUAAGGAUUUGUUACCAUCACUCUCUUUUCCAACUUUUAUUUAAAAUCUGUUGUUUUGGUAAUAAAAAAAAUCAAAAAACUAACUAACAAAAUAUCCACACUGUUGAGUUUUAAUUAUCCUACAUCGAAGAACAAUUUGAAUUUUUAUUAUAAUUACAUGAAUAAGUGUUAUACUUAUAGCCUUGUAAAGUUAAUUUUUCAUGUAUAGAGAAGUAGUUAACUGCAAGCAAACGACCAAACCCUAUUAUGUUUUAUGCAUUUUUAGUAUAUCUUUUUAUUAUAUGGUUUAUUGUAUUUCAAAGUUUACAAUUAUUGCAGGACAUCUUUUUAUUUCGAUCCCAACAAACAAGUUUUACAAAAAAUAUUUUAUAUUGAGGGUGUCCUCCUCACUCUCCAACCGCACCAAAUCUUCACUCCCACAAAGUUUACUUUAUAUUUAUGGUGGAUCGUUUUGUAUAUCUUUGUUGCUCAUCAUGUGUUUGUGUACAAAUUACCUAAAAGGCAAUUAGGGUCAAAUCUUUCUAUAAUAGCAACAUUUGUUUAAAAGUUUUAUGAUUAUAUUAUAGUGAGAUAUUGCUAUAUAUGUAUAUUAGUCUUUAACGUUUAGAUCUUAUUUAGAUACUAUAAACAAAAGUAUGUAAAAUUAGAAAGGAUGUGAAUGUAAAGAAUGGCAAACACUUAUAGUCUUUCCCCGUGAAGUUAUGGCCAUGUACCAUUACACAAUAUAUUUUUUUUUAUAAAUAUUUGUAUUUGAGUUUUACUAUGUUUAUUUAAUGAUGAAUUAAUUAAGGCCAAAAAAGAUAAUAAAAAGGUGAUGAAAACUUAGUUAAGCAACCACAACUGUAUAUAUAUCGAUGCGCGGCAAAUGGAAUAAAAAUUUUCUAACUUAACUUUAUAAAUUUCUUGCAAGUUUGUACCAAAAACAGAUAUAGAUAGUAAAAGUGUAAACAUUUGAUAUUAUAUUUCUCUUUUGACAUUCGAUACUCACUUUAAUUGAUUAAAUUUUAAGGGGUAAAACAUUUCUUAUAAAAAAUGAUUAUAAUUUUAGGGCACAAACUUAAAUCUUGUAGAUAAGAAAGGAGUACUUAUCGACCACUUCAUUUUGUGGUCUAAACUCUGAAGUGAAAAAGAUAGAUAUAGUUCUAAGCAUUGCCUAUAAAUAGUCAAUGGUGGAUCCAUGAUUUUAAUUGAAGGAGUUCGAAACAUAAAAAUAGAAUAUAGUGCUUGAAAUUUGAAACUUCAAGGUGCAUUUUAUCACCUAAACAACUGAUGCCAAUUCAUGUGUUCACAUAAUUCAGAAUCGAUCACUCCAUAUACAUAAAAAUUAAAAAAUUAUCUUCAUUUAUAGUGUAAUUUUUUGUAGAUGAGGUUCAGAUACACCUUCAUGAGACAUGAGGCCCUAGAUCCGCUCCUAUAUAUAUAUAUAUAGCUAGUGUCAAAAUUUCUUAUAAUACACGUCAAUGUAAGCAUAUCGUAUAAUGUUAUAAUAUCGUUAACUAGCUAUUUUUAAUACUCAAGCCCGCAGUCUAUAAUUAAAAAGGAACAAGUACAAACUACAAUCUUUAAGUUUAGUAGUUAAAACAUUUGAUGAUGACACUCUUUUUACUUUUUCUUACCAACUAAUUUGCAAGUAGAUAAUUCAGAAAAGUGUCAUUUUAUUAUACGAUAAUUUGUAAGUAAUCUAUAUAUAUAAUUUAAAUAAAAGGGUAGAAUUUAACAAAUUCAAAACCUUCAUAAAUGGACAAAGCCGGUCAACUAUAUUAAUUAAGUGGUUGAUAAUUUUCACACUAUUGCAUUAUUUAACUAAUACUUAAUCUGUCUCAAAAUACUUAUUAAUGUUUCAUUUCUUGAAAGUUAAUUUAACUAAAUUAAAUUAAAUUAAUAUGAUAUUUUCAACUUUUAGCUUAGAUGUUCAAGAACUUCAUGAAAAAUAUUACAAAUUGUAAUUUUUUCUAAUAUCAAUAUGGUAAAAAAAAACAUCUUAAAAGUUGAUCAAAGUACAUUUAAUUACUUUGCUACAAUAAAUUAAACAUGGUAUGUGGGUAAAUAUUUACCAUUAUUAGGACUCAAUUUAAUGAAUCAAUCGAGACGUAAGUAUGAUGUAAUUAGAUCACGUUAGAGUAUUGCUUUUGCUAAAUUUAUUAGCUCCACUAAUUUGAAAUUCCAUGGUGUAGUGUAGGAUAUAAAUUCUUAGUAAGAUUGAUUUAAAAUAUAAAAAGUAAAUACUGAUGAAAAAAAAAAUCAACAUAUAAUAAACAUAUAUAAAAAUAUAAAUAAAAGGUAACUUAUAGAAAUUUCACUAUUUUACAUUUAGGAGCUAAUUACUUAAAUGUACUCUAGUUUGCAAUAAGUAGAUUUUGGUACGUUUAGAUACAUGUAUCUCAAAAUAUAUAGGAUCAAAAUUAGGUGUCUUGAUACAUUGUAUCUAAAUGGAUUCACAUGUAUCUGAAAAACAAAGACAAACUCACAUCCUUUGCUUCCUUCACAUCUCGCACUCCACCAUCCAAUGUGUUUGUAUCGCAAAUACAUACGAAUCAGACCACACACAUAUAGAUACAUGUCUAGUAUGUAUCUAGUGUAAUUCAAUGUACCUGGGAUAUACAAAUCUCUCUCCCCACCUCACUCGCCUCUCUCUAUUUUAAUGUAUAUGUUGAUAGCAAAAAUACAUAUAUCUAAAUGUCUAUUCCUUAAUAUAAUAACCAUCCCCUCUUUGUGAUUUCACUACUUUAACUCUAAUCAGAAAUUCUACACGUUUUGUUUAUUAAUAUAAUAAAUGAUCUAAAAUAUCUUCUUGUUCUGGAUUCUUCAUCUUCUUUUUUUUAACAAAAAAAACUGCAACUCUACAAAUUGAUUAUUUCCACGAUUUUAUACACGUUAUGCAAUUGUAAAGAUAAGACAUUAACCAACAUGGGUUGUGGUGCACUGGUGGAAGUGUUUUAUCCUUAACCAGAGGUCUUGGGUUCGAGCCCUGGGUAUGGAGAAAGUCCUGUUGGGAGCGCUACCCCCGAAUGGGCCUUACAGAGCGCAAUCCGAAUUUAGUCGAAGCUUCAAUGUGGGCUCUGGACACCGGGUGGGAAAUCAAAAAGAAAAAGAUAAGACAUUAAAUACUUUGGUUAUGCUUCUAAUUGGUUUUGAGAUGGUGUGUUGAUCAUGGAUUCAAUACUCUUACUAUUGAAUCUGAUUUCAUGAUUGUGAUUAAUAUGAUCAACAAAGUCACGACAACUGCUUGGAGCAUCAUGGAAGAGAUCAAUGACAUUCAUUCUUUGUAAGGUAAUCUCACAAGUAGUUAGUGGAGGUAGAUAAGAUAGCUUGUUUUCGCUAGAUCCUCGACUCAAAAGAAAAUUAUCUUUGGGCUUCUUCAUAUUGGCCAUGCUCAGCUGAAACUAAUUCUGGCCAAUAUUCAAGUCCUUGGGCCUAAUACAACGAUAGCUCAAUUAUGGCAUCCUUAACCCAACUAUAUAGUUUGUUUUUAGCGUUUUAAUCCUCCGUUCACUUACUUAAAUAAGCAAUUUUUUGUACAAUUUUAUUCAGAGAGAGAAAUACAUAAAAUAUCUCAAACUUGUUCUUCAAGAUUUUCUGUGAAAUCUUUGAGAAAAUAAUCUUAUUUGAUUGGUUUAUUAUUUAUUUUUUUACGAAUGAAUAACCUAGUAAAUUAACUAAGUAAACUCAAAAAUCAGCAACAUCUUUAUAUUAGUGACUCAAAUCUUUAUACUUUUUUUUUAAAAGAAUCUUGACAAUUUUUAAAAUAAUAUAUGAUUGAAUGUGAACAGAUUCAGAAUAAACAAACCAAGAAGUAAAAUAAAGAAGAAUACUGCAAAGCAAAAAGGAAAAAAAGCACAAAGAUUAUAAUUAAGAAAGCUUGAUGAAGCAGAGAGCACUUAACGAGGCAUGACAAGGCAUGUUAAAUUUAGUGAAUUAGGGUUAGUCUUUCCCUUUCUGUUCCACUUUGUUUGUCAUCCUGUAAUUUUCGCGUAUUUAUUUUUUCAUAUUUUGAAUCCUUUAAUAAAAACUUUAUUUUCACCACAUAUGGUGUGAUACAACACUUAAAUAGUUGCAAUCAUAUAUAUAUCUGAAUUAUAGAUUUAUAGCCUCUUACAAUCAUUGUAAAUCAAUCCAUGUGGAUCAAAUUGACUUGCAAAGUGACCAUAUAAUAUUUGUGGGAAGCAUUGAAGAUCAAGUACAAAGAGCACCACCCAAGAGUGAGGGUGCAAGGCAAGUCUAAGUAGUAAGAAGAAAAUGAUACAAUGCAAUGGAAAGUGUAAUGAUGUAUAUCUGACCUAGCGAUACACAAUUGUUGUCUUUUAGUCUGGGACUCAUAGGGGACAUAUUUGUCUAUGCAUUCGUCACGGCGUAGACACAACUCUCGAUAAUAAAAUCCGUUGUGACAUACGACACGUACUUCAAAUCAUAAUAUCAAUUGCGGCGGACGACACGUCCCUCGAAUUGGUACAUCCUUUUAAUUCCUUAUUCCUCCUCAAUUCAUAUAACACGUGUCACAAUCAUGUCUCUGAACCAAUGCAAAUGACAUGUUCACCCAAAUAAUGAUAAAUGUCUAUUUCCAUAUCAAUGCACAAUUCACAACAACACAAUCGUGAUAUAACAUCAACAAUGAAUCAAUAAACCUUUUAAAUCAUUUUCAACACAUCACACGUGCAUCAAUAUAUAAUCAAGUUGCCUUUUAUUAUCCCCCUUUCAGCAUUAUGAUCAUUCAAUAUGAACAAGCCAACCCAUCACCAAGUCUAAUUACUUCCUAACAAAUAUCACAAGGAAAUACACGAUUCAAUAUCGGCUACAACCAAAAGUGAAUUUGAACAAACCACUACACACUCGAAAUUUUCAAACCAACUUCACUGAUUGAUCAGAAAUGACUUAGGGCCACUAUCGGGAGGGGUAAACCGAUAAUUUUACAAAAAAAUCCAAAAAUGACCUUGCAGGUCAUUACACAUUUCUCAUGUUAAUUGAUACAUCGGACACAUGUGUCUACUUGUGCAUACCCAGGAUUGGAAACAUAAAUGUCAUUUGAAGCGAAGUGAAAUGACACAUUAUUUAUUAUGUCUAUCUUUUAUUCUCUAUUAUCGAUGUAGAUAAAUGAAUUUUGAUUGUCAUAAAUAAAUAUAAAUUAAAUUAAAAUAUAAAAUUUAUUUACAAUAUAAAUAAAUAAUCUUUAAGAUUUUUAUGAAAUAUAUCUUUAAUUUUAUUAAUUAUUUUUUAAUUAAUGCAUCAAAAUAUGUUUAUAAGGCUAUCAUAUUAUAGAUAUUCUUAAAAUUAAUAAAAAAAAAUUAUUUUGUUCAUUUGAGAAUGACAUUAGCUUAUACACUCAAUCAAUAUUUUUUAUUUUUUCGGAUUAAUAUUUUAUUAUAGGAUAUUUGUUAUACAAAUGAAAAAAUAAUAAUAUGUGAUUUUAAAGAAGUAUAAAAAAAAGAUAAAGAUUGAUAAUGUAGGGUUGAAUAGACAUUUAAUAAAGUCAAUAAUGAAAAGGGAGGAAAAUGAAUGUUUCUCAAAGUUGAAGGGGGAGUUUGAUCUUUAAAGUAAAGUUUGGGGUAUAAAUGAUUUUUGCGCUAUUUAAUUAACCAAUGGUUUUGAUAGCCCGUGGUUUUAGCCCAUUGAUUAGUAUAAAAAGUGGUUUUUAGUUAUCUAUAUAAGUAGAGAGGAUAGUGAACAAUUUUCAGAUCAAGAGAAGAAUUUCAGUAAAAUUCUAAAAACUCUCAUUUUUCCCUUUUCUAAAACAGCCACAGUUAUCCCGUUCUUCAUAUUUUCCGGUGAGCUCCACCACCUAAACACCACCUCCCCUCCCCCCCCCGCCUCUCCUAGUUUGCUGCUACCAGUAACCAAACCAACAACAGCCCAAAACCACAACCUAACCAUAUAUUUUUUGGCUUUGUUUAAUUAAUUGUUGAUUUGUUGUCUUAAUAUUUUGGGUUAAAUUUUAAUGAUUAUUGUUAUUUUUUAGUGAAUGUGUUUAUAUUUUUUGCAAUUUUUAGAUCUUUUAUAUGGUUAGCUACUAUUUGUUCAUUACUUCAUCAUUGUUGCUCUAUUUUUUUAGUUUUAAUUGUUGAAUUUUUUAAUGUUAUUUAUCAAUUAUUUUCGUCGAUUUGAACAAAUGACCAAUGAAAAAAUCUCUCUGUUGAUUUUUGAGGUCUUCUCAUUUUUAAAGACGGAAAUUUUAGUUCAAGUUUAUAUAACAGAUCAUACAUUACAAGUUAAAAUUGAUUGAUGAAGAAUUUUUCAUCUAUUUCUAAGGUCUUCUAUCUUAAUAAAACUUACGGGGUUACUUAUUCCAUUUUAGAAUAGUCUCCUGUAAAGUAUAAGUCUGUUGUUGGGCAUCCGAUAAUAGAUUGGAAAACCAAAUAGUAGAUAUUGAAUCCCUCUAAUUUUGAUUACUAUUAUUUUGAUGCAUUUUUUAUUUGAUUCAUGAAAAAUAAAUUGUACAAGGCUACAAGCAUUACACAUAUUCAUGUAUUAUGAUGGUUGAAAUUGUUUCUUUUUCAUACCCAAAUGUAGGACAAUUAAAAAUCAAUAGUGUAGAUAUUUUGUUAGUUAAUUUUUAUUUUAUUUUAUUACAUAAAUAGAGUUUAAAUAAAAUGUUGUAAAAGGAAAGUGAUGUCAACAUGUCCUAAAUUUGGUUUUCACCAAGAAAUCAUAUCUCAUUCUUGGUCAAAAAUAAAUUAAGGAUUUGUUGCCAUCACCCCCUUUUCCAACUUUUAUUUAAAAUCUGUUGUUUGGGUAAUAAAAAAAAUCAAAAAAUUAACCAACAAAAUAUUCACAUCGUUGAUUUUUAAUUAUCCUACAUCUAAGAACAAUUUGAAUUUAUCAUAAUUACAUGAAUAAGUGUUAUACUUAUAGCCUUGUAAAAUUAAUUUUUCAUGUAUAGAAAAGUAGUUAACCGCAAGCAAACACUUAAAGAAAAACAGUAAAAAAAUAAUCCCUACAAGAAAAAAUAUAAUUAAAAAAUAAUCUUUCGGAGGUUAGGUUUUAAAAAUAUAUUUUCUUAACAAAAUAUAAUUGACCUUCAGAGUUAAAAAAAAAAGAAGACCUUUAGAGGUCGAUUUUUUAAUAGCAAUAUCCACAAUGUAAUUAUUAAGAAAGUUUUUGUAAUGAAGAUUGAAGAGAUUAUACUCUUAUAGUUUAAUAUUUUUUUUUAUAUUAGUUUCACAUAUAUAGGUCAAUUUUGACCAAACCCUAUUAUUAUGUUUUAUGUAUCUUUAGUAUAUCUUUUUAUUAUAUGAUUUAUUGUAUUUCAAAGUUUAUAAUUAUUGAUCUCCGCAGGACAUUUUUUUAUUUCGAUCCCAACAAACAAGUUUUACAAGAAAUAUUUUAUAUUGACGGUGUCCUCCUCACUCUCCAACCACAUCAAAUCUUCACUCCCACAAAGUUUACUUUAUAUUUAUGGUGGAUCGUUUUGUAUAUCUUUGUUGCUCAUCAUGUGUUUGUGUACAAAUUACCUAAAAGGCAAUUAGGGUUAAAUCUUUCUAUAAUAGCAACAUUUGUUUAAAAGUUUUAUGAUUAUAUUAUAGUGAGAUAUUUCUAUAUAUGUAUAUUAAUAUUUAACGUUUAGAUCUUAUUUAGAUAUUAUAAACAAAAGUGUGUGAAAUUAGAAAGGAUGUGAAUGUAAAGAAUGACAAGCACUUAUAGUCUUUUCUCGUGAAGUUAUGGCCAUGCACCAUUACACAAUAUAUAUAUUUUAGUGAAUAUUUGUGCUUGAGUUUUACUAUGUUUAUGCCAUAAUGAUGAUUUACAUGAAUAUUUGAAUAUUUUAUUUUAUACAUAAUGUAAUUUUAAAAAAAUAUUAUGACGCAAUAGUUAAGUAUAACUGUUAUAGAAAAGUAAUUUUACAAAUAGUGUAUUACUCAAAUGAAGAAUAUUAUUUUUGUUAUACAGAAGUAAAAUAUAAUAUGAAGAAAAACUGUUAAAGUGAAAUACCAUUGUAACAAAUAACAGUUAUACUUAUAACGAUGUUUGACUUGUAUUUGACGACUAUCUAAAAUAGCUUUCAUUUCUCACUCAACCAUAGCCUUUUGCAAUGAUGAUUUUUUUUUUCACAUGAAAAUAAUUAAAGUUCAAUUAGUUUUAGAAUUGUGACUUUUUUUUUAAUUAAUAUUAAAAAAAAAUUAGCAACCACAAAAAGGGUUAAUUGUGAAUUAACCAACAAACAAUGAUUUGAGUGGCUUGUUACCUAGUAGUAGGGGUGGGC
RNAcentral lists this long non-coding RNA (25455 nucleotides) under Solanum tuberosum (potato). RNAcentral's name for it is "long non-coding RNA (STUB_LNC004392)". The record is from RNAcentral. Lineage: Eukaryota; Viridiplantae; Streptophyta; Magnoliopsida; Solanales; Solanaceae.